This 1182-nucleotide ribosomal RNA is filed under the name uncultured bacterium. RNAcentral describes it as "bacterial SSU rRNA". It matches the Rfam family "Bacterial small subunit ribosomal RNA", at positions 309 to 1482 of the family's 1533-position model. The record is from RNAcentral.
CACACUGGAACUGAGACACGGUCCAGACUCCUACGGGAGGCAGCAGUAGGGAACCUUCCGCAAUGGGCGAAAGCCUGACGGAGCAACGCCGCGUGAGUGAUGAAGGUCUUCGGAUCGUAAAAUUCUGUUAUUAGGGAAGAACAAAUGUGUAAGUAACUAUGCACGUCUUGACGGUACCUAAUCAGAAAGCCACGGCUAACUACGUGCCAGCAGCCGCGGUAAUACGUAGGUGGCAAGCGUUAUCCGGAAUUAUUGGGCGUAAAGCGCGCGUAGGCGGUUUUUUAAGUCUGAUGUGAAAGCCCACGGCUCAACCGUGGAGGGUCAUUGGAAACUGGAAAACUUGAGUGCAGAAGAGGAAAGUGGAAUUUCAUGUGUAGCGGUGAAAUGCGCAGAGAUAUGGAGGAACACCAGUGGCGAAGGCGACUUUCUGGUCUGUAACUGACGCUGAUGUGCGAAAGCGUGGGGAUCAAACAGGAUUAGAUACCCUGGUAGUCCACGCCGUAAACGAUGAGUGCUAAGUGUUAGGGGGUUUCCGCCCCUUAGUGCUGCAGCUAACGCAUUAAGCACUCCGCCUGGGGAGUACGACCGCAAGGUUGAAACUCAAAGGAAUCGACGGGGACCCGCACAAGCGGUGGAGCAUGUGGUUUAAUUCGAAGCAACGCGAAGAACCUUACCAAAUCUUGACAUCCUCUGACCCCUCUAGAGAUAGAGUUUUCCCCUUCGGGGGACAGAGUGACAGGUGGUGCAUGGUUGUCGUCAGCUCGUGUCGUGAGAUGUUGGGUUAAGUCCCGCAACGAGCGCAACCCUUAAGCUUAGUUGCCAUCAUUAAGUUGGGCACUCUAAGUUGACUGCCGGUGACAAACCGGAGGAAGGUGGGGAUGACGUCAAAUCAUCAUGCCCCUUAUGAUUUGGGCUACACACGUGCUACAAUGGACAAUACAAAGGGCAGCGAAACCGCGAGGUCAAGCAAAUCCCAUAAAGUUGUUCUCAGUUCGGAUUGUAGUCUGCAACUCGACUAUAUGAAGCUGGAAUCGCUAGUAAUCGUAGAUCAGCAUGCUACGGUGAAUACGUUCCCGGGUCUUGUACACACCGCCCGUCACACCACGAGAGUUUGUAACACCCGAAGCCGGUGGAGUAACCAUUUGGAGCUAGCCGUCGAAGGUGGGACAAAUGAUUGGGGUG